RNAcentral lists this ribosomal RNA (1000 nucleotides) under Clostridioides difficile. Its description in RNAcentral is "partial 23S ribosomal RNA". It matches the Rfam family "Bacterial large subunit ribosomal RNA", at positions 989 to 2006 of the family's 2925-position model. The record is from RNAcentral. Lineage: Bacteria; Bacillati; Bacillota; Clostridia; Peptostreptococcales; Peptostreptococcaceae.
CUGUGGGUGAUAAGAUUCAUAGUCGAAAGGGCAACAGCCCAGAUCGUCAGCUAAGGUCCCUAAAUGUAAGUUAAGUGGUAAAGGAUGUGGGAUUGCACAGACAACCAGGAUGUUGGCUUAGAAGCAGCCACUCAUUCAAAGAGUGCGUAAUAGCUCACUGGUCGAGUGAUCCUGCGCCGAAGAUUUCCGGGGCUAAAACUUACUACCGAAGCUACGGCAUCAGUAAUGAUGGGUAGGGGAGCUUCCCAUACGGGUUGAAGCAUGACCGUAAGGACAUGUGGACAGUAUGGGAGUGAGAAUGUUGGCAUGAGUAGCGAGAUGUGGGUGAGAAUCCCACAGGCCGUAAACCCAAGGUUUCCAGGGGAAGGUUCGUCCGCCCUGGGUUAGUCGGGACCUAAGCUGAGGCCGAAAGGCGUAGGUGAUGGACAACAGGUUGAUAUUCCUGUACUACCGAUAACCGUUUGAGAGAUGGGAUGACACAGUAGGAUAAGCUAAGCACACUGUUGGUUAUGUGUGCCCAAGCAUUGAGGCAGUCAAAGUAGGUAAAUCCGCUUUGAUAAUGCUGGGAUGUGAUGGGGAGCGAAAUUUAGUAGCGAAGUAGCUGAUUUCACACUGUCAAGAAAAGUCUCUAUCGAGGUUAAAGGUACCCGUACCGCAAACCGACACAGGUGGGUGAGGAGAGUAUCCUAAGGCCAGCGAGAGAACUGUUGUUAAGGAACUCGGCAAAAUGACCCCGUAACUUAGGGAUAAGGGGUGCCACCAUCAGGUGGCCGCAGAGAAUAGGCCCAAGCGACUGUUUACCAAAAACAUAGGUUUCUGCUAAGUCGCAAGACGAUGUAUAGGAGCUGACGCCUGCCCGGUGCUGGAAGGUUAAGGGGAUCUGUUAGAGCAAUCGAAGCAGUGAACUUAAGCCCCAGUAAACGGCGGCCGUAACUAUAACGGUCCUAAGGUAGCGAAAUUCCUUGUCGGGUAAGUUCCGACCCGCACGAAAGGCGUAACG